AACCGCCGUAUACGAGAACCGUACGUACGGUGGUGUGAGAGGUCGGAAAAUAAAGUAGGAGGAAAACUAUUUUAU
RNAcentral lists this unclassified non-coding RNA (75 nucleotides) under Draconibacterium orientale. The record is from RNAcentral. Lineage: Bacteria; Pseudomonadati; Bacteroidota; Bacteroidia; Marinilabiliales; Prolixibacteraceae.